RNAcentral lists this transfer RNA (94 nucleotides) under Bacteriophage T5-like saus111K. RNAcentral describes it as "tRNA-Glu". It matches the Rfam family "tRNA". Rfam says of the family: Transfer RNA (tRNA) molecules are approximately 80 nucleotides in length. Their secondary structure includes four short double-helical elements and three loops (D, anti-codon, and T loops). Further hydrogen bonds mediate the characteristic L-shaped molecular structure. tRNAs have two regions of fundamental functional importance: the anti-codon, which is responsible for specific mRNA codon recognition, and the 3' end, to which the tRNAs corresponding amino acid is attached (by aminoacyl-tRNA synthetases). tRNAs cope with the degeneracy of the genetic code in two manners: having more than one tRNA (with a specific anti-codon) for a particular amino acid; and 'wobble' base-pairing, i.e. permitting non-standard base-pairing at the 3rd anti-codon position. The record is from RNAcentral. Lineage: Duplodnaviria; Heunggongvirae; Uroviricota; Caudoviricetes; Demerecviridae. RNAcentral also lists the same sequence under 5 other names.
ACACCUAUCGUCUAAUGGCUAGGACAUCAGGAUUUCAAUCUGAGAAUCGGAGUUCAAUCUGAGAAUCGGAGUUCAAUUCUCCGUGGGUGUACCA